Molecule: ribosomal RNA, 465 nt
Filed under: Vreelandella stevensii
Lineage: Bacteria; Pseudomonadati; Pseudomonadota; Gammaproteobacteria; Oceanospirillales; Halomonadaceae
Description: partial 16S ribosomal RNA
Rfam family: Bacterial small subunit ribosomal RNA
Source: RNAcentral
CCUACGGGAGGCUGCAGUGGGGAAUAUUGGACAAUGGGGGCAACCCUGAUCCAGCCAUGCCGCGUGUGUGAAGAAGGCCCUCGGGUUGUAAAGCACUUUCAGUGAGGAAGAACGCCUGGUGGUUAAUACCCAUCAGGAAAGACAUCACUCACAGAAGAAGCACCGGCUAACUCCGUGCCAGCAGCCGCGGUAAUACGGAGGGUGCGAGCGUUAAUCGGAAUUACUGGGCGUAAAGCGCGCGUAGGUGGCUUGAUAAGCCGGUUGUGAAAGCCCCGGGCUCAACCUGGGAACGGCAUCCGGAACUGUCAAGCUAGAGUGCAGGAGAGGAAGGUAGAAUUCCCGGUGUAGCGGUGAAAUGCGUUGAGAUCGGGAGGAAUACCAGUGGCGAAGGCGGCCUUCUGGACUGACACUGACACUGAGGUGCGAAAGCGUGGGUAGCAAACAGGAUUAGAUACCCCUGUAGUC